Molecule: long non-coding RNA, 579 nt
Organism: Vitis vinifera (wine grape)
Lineage: Eukaryota; Viridiplantae; Streptophyta; Magnoliopsida; Vitales; Vitaceae
Exons: 3
Source: RefSeq, a predicted model, not a curated record
UUCUCAUUUUCUCUCUCAUGCUUCCAGUGAAACCCCUCAUAAUCCAAAAAUGGAGCGUACUUAGGUUCCUUGCAGCUUUAUUUUGUGGAGAGGUAGUAGGUGUCAUUCCUGAAUUCACUGUGUUUAUCAGCUCCAGGAUGAUAUUGGAGGCUCUUGAAAGCAAUUGGAGAUACUUGGGUUGCUGAGGCCUGAGCCGGUCAGCAAAGGCCAGACACCGCCACACCAGUAGAGGAAUAUAUGGAGAAUUUGGUUGGAUUGGGCACAAAGGAAAUAGAGAGAGUGAUGGUACUUGCAGUCACAAACAGGCCUUUUGAUCUUGAUGAGGCCAUUAUUAAAAAGUUUCCACACCGAUUGAUGGUAGGCUUACCAACACACAAAGCAGAGGUAAUACAUUAAGAGGCAUGCAGAGGGGGCAAAGGAAUAAUUGUCUCCUGAGUCUGAUUUGGUAGAAACUACAAAUAUGAUAGAAGUGUUGGAAUUUUUAUGUGUGGACUUACAUAAUUAAUUUGAUAAUAUCAUAAAUCAGUGUUAAUUUAUUUUUGCAUUGUGGUCCAUAAUGGGACUGGACACAUAUUGUUG